This 404-nucleotide long non-coding RNA is filed under the name Helianthus annuus (common sunflower). RNAcentral's name for it is "sRNA HanXRQr2_Chr06g0259821". Lineage: Eukaryota; Viridiplantae; Streptophyta; Magnoliopsida; Asterales; Asteraceae. The record is from RNAcentral.
UUUCACACAUUCAGGUGCUAAUUUUCGACGACGGUUUACGUUACCGGUGAACCAAAACCCCAAAAAUAUAACCAUAUGCUACAUAUCCUCUCCUUGUGAGAAACUCUUGGUUACGUCUUCACGUUAGAAACCUCUCGUAGAACUCGAAACACUUUCCCGACGAACCUACUUGUUUUCCGGCGCCUCCUUUAUCGGGUUUUAUUUUACAUCAGGCAGGAUUUCGUGAUCUCUAGGCGUAUUUUCUUAUCUUAAUAAUUGUGAUCAUCGCUUAAGACCCAUCAUUGUGGCAUAAAAUGAUGUUAUCAAGACAAUCUGGGACGGGAUAUAGAAGAGUGCUCGAGUAUAUGAAAAAGACCGUAGAAAUAAUGUACUGGAUUAGAUAUCCUAUUUCCAUUAAGUUGUAA